AGGGCGGGCGCGGACCGUGCUGGGAGCGGCGCGGCUGGAGCGCAGCGCCGAAGGGACUGGCAGGGCUGAAGUGUGCGGGACAGCAAGCCCCCGAAUAGCCCCGGCUGCCACCUCGCAGGACCCAAGGCCACGCGCGCCGGGCCCAGCUGAGCCGCCUCAUGAAGCCGCCCGCGGCGCAGGGCAGCCCCGCGGCCGCCGCGGCCGCAGCCCCGGCCCUGGACUCGGCGGCCGCGGAGGACCUGUCGGACGCGCUGUGCGAGUUUGACGCGGUGCUGGCCGACUUCGCGUCGCCCUUCCACGAGCGCCACUUCCACUACGAGGAGCACCUGGAGCGCAUGAAGCGGCGCAGCAGCGCCAGUGUCAGCGACAGCAGCGGCUUCAGCGACUCGGAGACUCUCAGACUUGUUGCUCCAUUGCAUGCAGUUAUGAAAAUCUUUGGCACUGCUGAGUUCAAGUAUUUUUCAGCCAGGUCCUCCACCAGGCUGGAGGGGGAGCCAGAGAGCACAUGGGCAUGAAGGUGGUUCCUGGUGAUCUUUCUCACAAUGGAGACUACCCCAGGGUCUCUUUGUCCUGAACAACUUUGUCAACAACAGCAACAACAACAAAAACAACAAAAGAGACAGCUUUUUCCAGGAACUCACAUGUCCUGGGAGGAUUACAGUUUUUACAGCUCUGUCUGAAGGUGCACCAACCUUACAAGGAAGAUCAAACAGCAAGCCUGUUCUUUGAAGAAUACUUCUUUAUUAUCAUUAAAAAAAAUUUAGGUUGCUUGCACCCAAAGGCAAAAAAUAGCCAUUCCUCGUACUGAAAGAAACAAGUUACUCAGAUAGGAAAGAAGAACAGAUAUUUAAUAAGGAAAUAUUCCUUCCUGUUCCCACUUUCAGGGAGGCCUCUUAAGACAUGAAGAGGACCAAAAUAACAAUUGCAGUAUAACUUCACAUGGUGGGGUGGGGGGUGUGGAGUUCAAAUGUGGUUGAUCAAAAUAGUGUUGUUACUUUCGUUUAGACUUGAUUCCAACAUGUAAAAAAAUCAGGCACUUUAGUGGGAGUGAUUUUAACUUCAGUAGUGAAAGGGCAAUGCAAUUAAGAGUUAGGGUAGUGUUUCUCAAACUUCAUCCUCAGAGGUGCUUUAGAAAUUGACUACCUUUGGUUUGAAUUUAUUUUUAGAAAUAUAUCUUCUUUUCAGUAUUUUUAAAACUGUAAAAGGUAAACCAUGUUUUCUCAAAUGUGUUAAAUGGAAUUUUAACUCAUUA
Molecule: RNA transcript, 1252 nt
Organism: Homo sapiens (human)
Lineage: Eukaryota; Metazoa; Chordata; Mammalia; Primates; Hominidae
Gene: RGCC
Gene name: regulator of cell cycle
Exons: 4
Source: RefSeq, marked reviewed